AGAGUUUGAUCCUGGCUCAGGAUGAACGCUGGCGGUAUGAUUAACACAUGCAAGUCGAACGGGUUCUUCGGAACUAGUGGCGGACGGGUGAGUAAUGCGUAAGAAUCUAGCUUCAGGUCGGGGACAACAGUUGGAAACGGCUGCUAAUACCGGAUAUGCGGAAACGUGAAAGUUUUAAUGCCUGAAGAAGAGCUUGCGUCCGAUUAGCUAGUUGGUGGGGUAAGAGCCUACCAAGGCGACGAUCGGUAACUGGUCUGAGAGGAUGAUCAGUCACACUGGAACUGAGACACGGUCCAGACUCCUACGGGAGGCAGCAGUGGGGAAUUUUCCGCAAUGGGCGAAAGCCUGACGGAGCAAUACCGCGUGAGGGAGGAAGGCUCUUGGGUUGUAAACCUCUUUUCUCAGGGAAGAAUAGAUGACGGUACCUGAGGAAUAAGCAUCGGCUAACUCUGUGCCAGCCGCCGCGGUAAUAC
RNAcentral lists this ribosomal RNA (473 nucleotides) under uncultured bacterium. Its description in RNAcentral is "bacterial SSU rRNA". It matches the Rfam family "Bacterial small subunit ribosomal RNA", at positions 8 to 526 of the family's 1533-position model. The record is from RNAcentral.